UCUGGAAGCUGUAAUAUUAAUGCGUGCAGUUUGAGUGUCUGCACGUAGUAGCAGCCUUCCUAUAGUAACUGGAGAUAUCUGCCUGGCUCUGUAUAGGAUGUACAGAAGCAGAUCGUUCCUCUCCUCACACA
Molecule: non-coding RNA, 131 nt
Organism: Bombina bombina (fire-bellied toad)
Lineage: Eukaryota; Metazoa; Chordata; Amphibia; Anura; Bombinatoridae
Product: small Cajal body-specific RNA 3
Exons: 1
Source: RefSeq, a predicted model, not a curated record